AAAUGCUUCCGGUACAUUCAUCAUUAUGAUCGGACGCUCAAAGUCUCGGAUCGACGCGGAGGCUCGGAGGUAGUUGAUAAAAUAAAGAGGAAAAGGAAAAACUAAUUUCUUCUUCUGGUGCUCCCUUCCGGUCCAAUGCGGCUCUAAAUCUCUCUCCGCCGCCGCGCCGUCGCCGACGCCUCACGACCGGAACGUCGCCGCCACUGACGCGCCUCGACGCCGCCGCCACUGACGCGCCUCGACGCCGCCGCCGUCGCCGUCCCUGCUCUCUCCACCCCGUCCGCGAGCUUCGACAUCGGUCUUUGAGACCAGUCCCCGCCGGUUGACGCCCCUUGUUAAAUCCGCCCGUCCGCGACCCUGAGGCGCUCGGCGGCAGCGAGGAGGAUGCCUGGCCUACCUUUACCUGCCCGGGACGCAGCGGACGCUGGGUGUGAAUUCAGUUACCCUCAGUCUGCAGACCAGAUGCGCCAGCAACAGCUGAGAGCUCGAUUAUCUCCAGAUGAGCAGCUUGCUGCUGAAGAAAGUUUUGCGUUGUACUGCAAGCCAGUUGAGCUAUACAAUAUUAUUCAGCGGCGAGCCAUUAGAAAUCCCGCUUUUCUGCAAAGAUGCCUUCAUUACAAGAUACAUGCAAGCCGAAAAAAGAGGAUUCAGAUAACGGUAUCACUAUCUCGAAGUACAAAUACUGAGUUGCCAGAACAGAAUAUCUUUCCUCUUUAUGUUCUGUUGGCUACACCUACUAGUAAUAUUUCGCUUGAAGGGCAUUCUCCGAUAUAUCGAUUCAGUCGGGCUUGUUUGCUUACAGCUUUUAGUGAAUUUGGUAAUAAAGGUCGCACCAAAGCUACAUUUAUAAUUCCAGACAUCAAGAAUUUAUCAACCUCCCGAGCUUGCAACCUUAACAUUAUCCUUAUCAGCUGUGUUUCGGAAGGGCAAGUUGGGGAAAAUCUUGGUGAAAGUAACUUCUCUGUGGACCAUGUGGAAGGCUCUGCUCUCCAAAAGCUUGAAGGGAAAUGUUUCUGGGGUAAAAUACCAAUUGAUCUACUUGGUUCGUCUUUGGAGAACUGUGUAACUUUAAAUUUGGGACAUACAGUGGAGUUGGCUUCUGCAGUUAGUAUGAGCCCAAGUUUCUUAGAGCCGAAAUUUAUGGAGCAGGACAGUUGCUUGACAUUUUGCUCUCAUAAGGUUGAUGCUGCGGGUUCAUAUCAACUCCAAGUAGGCAUAUCUGCUCAAGAAGCUGGUGCAAAAGACAUGUCUGAAUCUCCAUAUAGUAGUUACUCAUACAGUGGUGUCCCACCUUCAUCAUUACCACAUAUCAUAAGGUUAAGAGCUGGUAAUGUGCUUUUCAACUUCAAGUACUACAACAAUACUAUGCAAAAGACUGAAGUCACUGAAGAUUUUGCUUGCCCCUUCUGCUUGGUAAAAUGUGGAAGCUACAAGGGUUUGGGGUGUCACUUGAACUCAUCACAUGACCUAUUCCACUUUGAGUUUUGGAUAUCUGAAGAAUGCCAGGCUGUUAAUGUUAGUCUGAAGACUGAUGUCUGGAGAACUGAGCUUGUGGCUGAGGGAGUUGAUCCAAGACAUCAAACAUUUUCCUACUCCUCAAGGUUUAAGAAGCGUAGAAGGUUGGGAAUGUUGGGAACCACAGCUGAGAAAAUAAGCCAUGUACAUCCACAUAUCAUGGAUUCAGAUUCACCUGAAGACGCCCAGGCAGUGUCUGAAGAUGACUUUGUGCAGAGGGAGGAAGAUGAUAUUUCUGCACCACGUGCUUCUGUUGAUCCUGCUCAAUUAUUACAUGGUAGCAAUCUUUCACCACCCACAGUACUACAGUUUGGGAAGACAAGGAAACUAUCUGCGGAGCGAGCUGAUCCCAGAAACCGGCAACUCCUGCAGAAACGUCAGUUUUUCCAUUCUCACAGGGCACAGCCAAUGGCACUGGAACAAGUUUUCUCGGACCGUGAUAGUGAAGAUGAAGUUGAUGAUGACAUCGCCGAUUUUGAAGAUAAACGGAUGCUUGAGGAUUUUGUUGACGUUACAGACGAUGAGAAACUUAUUAUGCAUAUGUGGAAUUCAUUUGUUCGGAAACAAAGGGUGCUAGCUGAUGGUCAUAUUCCUUGGGCCUGUGAGGCAUUCUCCCGGCUUCAUGGAAAACAUCUUGUACAGAAUCCUCCUCUACUAUGGAGCUGGCGUUUCCUUAUGAUUAAACUCUGGAACCACAGUCUAUUAGAUGCCCGCGCCAUGAAUGUCUGCGGCACAAUUCUUCAAGGCUACCAAAAUGAAAGCUCGGACCCCAAGAAAAUGUGAGUCGAGCAUAGUGCGCUCAUUAUAAUUUAAAUCAAGUGGGUGUUUGGAGGAGGCCUUAGGAGCAGGCUAAAGAGAGGUGAAAGCUGCACCUGAGGCCAUGGAGGACUAUUCUCGAUUCUAUUUAUCGAUCGGUUGUGUUGAAGCAGCAGUGAUCCGGAUGAGAUGUGUUUACAUGGAUUGUUGUUGUUCGUCGUGUUCUGUUCCAUGGAUAAGCGCCUUUAGUGUUGCAGAACUUGCCGUAUGGUCUGCAAACUUGAAUCAGUGUUCCUUGCUACAAUAAAACCUAUCUAAAAUUAUACCUUGCGUAAGCGUGUGCAAAAUUGUCAUGCCGUUUAGAAAUCACAGAGACUAGCACCGCAAGGUCCUGACUUGGUGU
Molecule: ribosomal RNA, 2674 nt
Filed under: Triticum aestivum (bread wheat)
Lineage: Eukaryota; Viridiplantae; Streptophyta; Magnoliopsida; Poales; Poaceae
Description: partial small subunit ribosomal RNA
Source: RNAcentral